GACGAACGCUGGCGGCGUGCUUAACACAUGCAAGUCGAACGGAAAGGCCCUGCUUUUGUGGGGUGCUCGAGUGGCGAACGGGUGAGUAACACGUGAGUAACCUGCCCUUGACUUUGGGAUAACUUCAGGAAACUGGGUCUAAUACCGGAUAGGAGCUCCUGCUGCAUGGUGUGGGUUGGAAAGUUUCGGCGGUUGGGGAUGGACUCGCGGCUUAUCAGCUUGUUGGUGGGGUAGUGGCUUACCAAGGCUUUGACGGGUAGCCGGCCUGAGAGGGUGACCGGCCACAUUGGGACUGAGAUACGGCCCAGACUCCUACGGGAGGCAGCAGUGGGGAAUAUUGCACAAUGGGCGGAAGCCUGAUGCAGCAACGCCGCGUGCGGGAUGACGGCCUUCGGGUUGUAAACCGCUUUCGCCUGUGACGAAGCGUGAGUGACGGUAAUGGGUAAAGAAGCACCGGCUAACUACGUG
Molecule: ribosomal RNA, 468 nt
Filed under: uncultured bacterium
Lineage: Bacteria
Description: partial 16S ribosomal RNA
Rfam family: Bacterial small subunit ribosomal RNA
Source: RNAcentral